Molecule: ribosomal RNA, 75 nt
Filed under: uncultured Saccharomycetales
Lineage: Eukaryota; Fungi; Ascomycota; Saccharomycetes
Description: partial 5.8S ribosomal RNA
Rfam family: 5.8S ribosomal RNA
About the family: 5.8S ribosomal RNA (5.8S rRNA) is a component of the large subunit of the eukaryotic ribosome. It is transcribed by RNA polymerase I as part of the 45S precursor that also contains 18S and 28S rRNA. Functionally, it is thought that 5.8S rRNA may be involved in ribosome translocation.
Source: RNAcentral
GUGAAUCAUCGAAUCUUUGAACGCACAUUGCGCCUUGAGGUAUUCCUCAAGGCAUGCCUGUUUGAGCGUCGGCUC